UACGUAGGGUGCAAGCGUUAAUCGGAAUUACUGGGCGUAAAGCGUGCGCAGGCGGUUUUGUAAGUCUGACGUGAAAUCCCCGGGCUCAACCUGGGAAUUGCGUUGGAGACUGCAAGGCUGGAGUCUGGCAGAGGGGGGUAGAAUUCCACGUGUAGCAGUGAAAUGCGUAGAGAUGUGGAGGGACACCGAUGGCGAAGGCAGCCCCCUGGGUCAAGACUGACGCUCAUGCACGAAAGCGUGGGGAGCAAACAGG
RNAcentral lists this ribosomal RNA (253 nucleotides) under uncultured bacterium. RNAcentral's name for it is "partial 16S ribosomal RNA". It matches the Rfam family "Bacterial small subunit ribosomal RNA", at positions 524 to 776 of the family's 1533-position model. The record is from RNAcentral.